RNAcentral lists this ribosomal RNA (253 nucleotides) under uncultured bacterium. RNAcentral's name for it is "partial 16S ribosomal RNA". It matches the Rfam family "Bacterial small subunit ribosomal RNA", at positions 524 to 776 of the family's 1533-position model. The record is from RNAcentral.
UACGUAGGGUCCGAGCGUUGUCCGGAUUUAUUGGGCGUAAAGAGCGUGUAGGCGGCUUGGUAGGUCCGCUGUGAAAACUCGAGGCUCAACCUCGAGACGCCGGUGGAAACCAUCAGGCUAGAGUCCGGAAGAGGAGAGUGGAAUUCCUGGUGUAGCGGUGAAAUGCGCAGAUAUCAGGAAGAACACCCGUGGCUAAGGCGGCUCUCUAGUACGGUACUGACGCUGAGACGCGAAAGCGUGGGGAGCGAACAGG